This 28-nucleotide non-coding RNA is filed under the name Homo sapiens (human). The record is from RNAcentral. Lineage: Eukaryota; Metazoa; Chordata; Mammalia; Primates; Hominidae.
UGGUGAUUAUUUUGCAACAGAAGAGUCA